GCAAGUCGAACGGUAAGGCUUCUUCGGAAGCACACGAGUGGCGCACGGGUGCGUAACACGUAUGCAACCUACCCUUUAGAGGGGGAUAGUCGCGGGAAACUGCGAAUAAUACCCCAUAUGCUCACGGAAUGGCAUCUUUCUGUGGGGAAAGCUCCGGCGCUAAAGGAUGGGCAUGCGUCCCAUUAGUUAGUUGGUGAGGUAACGGCUCACCAAGACUCCGAUGGGUAACUGGUCUGAGAGGAUGAUC
Molecule: ribosomal RNA, 247 nt
Filed under: uncultured bacterium
Lineage: Bacteria
Description: partial 16S ribosomal RNA
Rfam family: Bacterial small subunit ribosomal RNA
Source: RNAcentral